This 253-nucleotide ribosomal RNA is filed under the name uncultured bacterium. RNAcentral's name for it is "partial 16S ribosomal RNA". It matches the Rfam family "Bacterial small subunit ribosomal RNA", at positions 524 to 776 of the family's 1533-position model. The record is from RNAcentral.
UACGGAGGAUCCAAGCGUUAUCCGGAUUUAUUGGGUUUAAAGGGUGCGUAGGCGGCCUAUUAAGUCAGGGGUGAAAGACGGUAGCUUAACUAUCGCAGUGCCCUUGAUACUGAUGGGCUUGAAUGUACUAGAGGUAGGCGGAAUGUGACAAGUAGCGGUGAAAUGCAUAGAUAUGUCACAGAACACCAAUUGCGAAGGCAGCUUACUACGGUAUGAUUGACGCUGAGGCACGAAAGCGUGGGGAUCAAACAGG